Molecule: ribosomal RNA, 1277 nt
Filed under: metagenome
Description: SSU rRNA
Rfam family: Eukaryotic small subunit ribosomal RNA
Source: RNAcentral
AAUCCCUUAACGAGGAUCAAUUGGAGGGCAAGUCUGGUGCCAGCAGCCGCGGUAAUUCCAGCUCCAAUAGCGUAUAUUAAAGUUGCUGCAGUUAAAAAGCUCGUAGUUGAAUUUCUGGUACGAUGUGCCUGGUCCACGGUCGCAAGGCCGCGCGUAUCGGAGUACGUCUGCCAUCCUUCUAGUUAACUGGCUAUACUUAACUGUGUGGUCAGCAACCUAGAUCUUUUACUUUGAAAAAAUUAGAGUGUUUAAAGCAGGCUCGCGCUGUGAAUACAUUAGCAUGGAAUAAUAAUUUAGGACUUUGCUUCUAUUUUAUUGGUUUCUAGGGGUAAAGUAAUGAUUGAUAGGGAUAGUUGGGGGUGCUAGUAUUCAUCGGCCAGAGGUGAAAUUCUUGGAUUCGAUGAAGACUAACUUAUGCGAAAGCAUUCACCAAGGAUGUCUUCUUUAAUCAAGAACGAAAGUUGGGGGAUCGAAGACGAUCAGAUACCGUCGUAGUCUCAACCAUAAACUAUACCGACUAGGGAUUAGUGGAAGUUGCUAUAUCGACUCCAUUAGCACCUUAUGAGAAAUCAGAAGUCUUUGGGUUCUGGGGGGAGUAUGGUCGCAAGGCUGAAACUUAAAGGAAUUGACGGAAGGGCACCACCAGGAGUGGAGCCUGCGGCUUAAUUUGACCCAACACGGGGAAACUUACCAGGUCCGGACAUAGUGAGGAUUGACAGAUUGAAAUUGCUUUCUUGAUUCUAUGGGUGGUGGUGCAUGGCCGUUCUUAGUUGGUGGAGUGAUUUGUCUGGUUAAUUCCGUUAACGAUCGAGACCUCGACCUGCUAAAUAGUAUGACGUAGGCUCUGUCUAUGGACAUGACUUCUUAGAGGGACUGUCGGUUUUUAGCCGAAGGAAGUUCGAGGCAAUAACAGGUCUGUGAUGCCCUUAGAUGUUCUGGGCCGCACGCGCGCUACACUGAUACGUGCAUCGAGCUUACAACCUUGGCUGGGAGGCCUGGGUAAUCUUUGAAAAGCGUAUCGUGCUGGGGAUAGAUUAUUGUAAUUAUUAAUCUUCAACGAGGAAUUCCUAGUAAGCGCGAGUCAUCAACUCGCACUGAUUACGUCCCUGCCCUUUGUACACACCGCCCGUCGCUGCUACCGAUUGAAUGCAUUAGUGAGCUUGAGGGAUCGUUUAGCUUGAGGGUCAAACUUCGAGUUAAGUGAGAACUCACGCAAACUUGCGCAUUUAGAGGAAGCAAAAGUCGUAACAAGGUUUCCGUAGGUGAACCUGCGGAAG